Molecule: ribosomal RNA, 301 nt
Filed under: uncultured bacterium
Lineage: Bacteria
Description: partial 16S ribosomal RNA
Rfam family: Bacterial small subunit ribosomal RNA
Source: RNAcentral
CAGUCGCCGCGGGAACACAGAGGGUGCAAGCGUUAAUCGGAAUUACUGGGCGUAAAGCGCGCGUAGGUGGUUUGUUAAGUUGGAUGUGAAAUACCCGGGCUCAACCUGGGAACUGCAUUCAAAACUGACUGACUAGAGUAUGGUAGAGGGUGGUGGAAUUUCCUGUGUAGCGGUGAAAUGCGUAGAUAUAAGAAGGAACACCAGUGGCGAAGGCGACCACCUGGACUAAUACUGACACUGAGGUGCGAAAGCGUGGGGAGCAAACAGGAUUAGAUACCCGGGUAGUCCCUGUCUCUUAUAC